This 68-nucleotide transfer RNA is filed under the name Vulpes chama (Cape fox). RNAcentral's name for it is "tRNA-Gly". It matches the Rfam family "tRNA". Rfam says of the family: Transfer RNA (tRNA) molecules are approximately 80 nucleotides in length. Their secondary structure includes four short double-helical elements and three loops (D, anti-codon, and T loops). Lineage: Eukaryota; Metazoa; Chordata; Mammalia; Carnivora; Canidae. The record is from RNAcentral.
ACUUCUUUAGUAUAACUAGUACAAUUGACUUCCAAUCAAUUAGCUUCAGAUCUACCUGAAAAGAAGUA